AUACGGAGGAUGCGAGCGUUAUCCGGAUUUAUUGGGUUUAAAGGGUGCGUAGGCGGCCUUGUAAGUCAGCGGUGAAAUUUUGCAGCUUAACUGUAAAAGUGCCGUUGAUACUGUGAGGCUAGGAUUUGGUUGCUGUGGGUGGAAUGUGUGGUGUAGCGGUGAAAUGCUUAGAGAUCACACAGAAUAUCGAUUGCGAAGGCGGCUCACAAAGCCAAGAUUGACGCUGAGGCACGAAAGUGUGGGGAUCAAACAGGAUUAGAUACCCUGGUAGUCCACACUGUAAACGAUGAUAACUCGCUGUCGGCGAUAUACAGUCGGUGGCCAAGCGAAAGCGAUAAGUUAUCCACCUGGGGAGUACGACCGCAAGGUUGAAACUCAAAUGAAUUGACGGGG
RNAcentral lists this ribosomal RNA (393 nucleotides) under uncultured bacterium. RNAcentral's name for it is "partial 16S ribosomal RNA". It matches the Rfam family "Bacterial small subunit ribosomal RNA", at positions 523 to 918 of the family's 1533-position model. The record is from RNAcentral.